GCUUCUAUGACGUUAGCGGCGGACGGGUGAGUAACACGUGGGCAACCUGCCUGUAAGACUGGGAUAACUUCGGGAAACCGAAGCUAAUACCGGAUAGGAUCUUCUCCUUCAUGGGAGAUGAUUGAAAGAUGGUUUCGGCUAUCACUUACAGAUGGGCCCGCGGUGCAUUAGCUAGUUGGUGAGGUAACGGCUCACCAAGGCAACGAUGCAUAGCCGACCUGAGAGGGUGAUCGGCCACACUGGGACUGAGACACGGCCCAGACUCCUACGGGAGGCAGCAGUAGGGAAUCUUCCGCAAUGGACGAAAGUCUGACGGAGCAACGCCGCGUGAGUGAUGAAGGCUUUCGGGUCGUAAAACUCUGUUGUUAGGGAAGAACAAGUACAAGAGUAACUGCUUGUACCUUGACGGUACCUAACCAGAAAGCCACGGCUAACUACGUGCCAGCAGCCGCGGUAAUACGUAGGUGGCAAGCGUUAUCCGGAAUUAUUGGGCGUAAAGCGCGCGCA
RNAcentral lists this ribosomal RNA (507 nucleotides) under Priestia megaterium. RNAcentral's name for it is "bacterial SSU rRNA". It matches the Rfam family "Bacterial small subunit ribosomal RNA", at positions 80 to 573 of the family's 1533-position model. The record is from RNAcentral. Lineage: Bacteria; Bacillati; Bacillota; Bacilli; Caryophanales; Bacillaceae.